AGCUCGCAUUUUUAUCGUGUUUUUUGGUCUCAAAUCAAAAUUGCUUCAUUCAUAGAUGUUUUAUACAAUAAUUUAACGUUAAAGAGUAAGUAAUGUGUGUUUUUAACAUAUUAUUUUUUAUGUAACGUUUUUUAUAUAGAAACUAUACUUGUACAUAUUGGAAGUUUUCUUUCAAAAGUGCAAAAAGAUAUUUCAAAACAUAACUUCAAAAUGUUUCAAAAUUAAACAUAUAUUGAAAGUUAUCUUCUAAAACAUUCUAAAAGGCAAAAUUAGAAUUUUUAGGGGAGGGGGGUUGAGAGCAACGUCGGAGGCCUAAAGAGCAAAAUUCCAAAUAAAAUGAUCUAUUGAGGAUCAAGUUAUGGACACGUCUUGGAUUUUGAAAUAUAACUUUUAAAUUUUGUGAAUUUAUGUAAGUUUUUAAUUUUUGUACUUUCACUUCUUCAACGUUCAACCUCUCAAUCUCUCAAAAGCUCGAAUUUUUUCGUGUUUUUUGGGUCUCAAAUCAAAAUUGCUUCAUUCAUAGAUGUUUUAUACAAUAAUUUAACGCCAAAGAGUAGUAGGACCCUGUUUCAUUUCAUGUUCACUCGUGGUCUGUUACAUCACACUUGGCCUUACGCUCUUUCCCAUCAUCAAAGGAUUGCAUAUGGGGAGAGGAGAGGAGAGGAGAACGCAAGCAAGCUGUUAACUUUGAAUUUUAAAAUGUAGCUUGACAUGUGCCCUCAGGACACAAGUUAAGAUAGCCCUUUAAAUAUAUACUACCACUCCGUAUUAUUUUUGUAAAUUUG
Long non-coding RNA from Trifolium pratense (red clover), 785 nucleotides. RefSeq lists it as uncharacterized. The transcript has 3 exons. Lineage: Eukaryota; Viridiplantae; Streptophyta; Magnoliopsida; Fabales; Fabaceae. The record is from RefSeq and is a predicted model, not a curated record.